AAGAGAAAACUGCCCUCUGGGUAGAUCUCCCACCCUAUGUUUAUAUUACCUUUGUUGCUUUGGCAGGCCCGUCUUCUGACCACCGGCUCUGGCUGGUCCGUGCCUGCCAGAGGACCACAAACUCUUGAAUUUCAAGUUGUCUGAGUCAUAUAUAAUAUAGUAA
This 163-nucleotide unclassified non-coding RNA is filed under the name uncultured Helotiales. RNAcentral's name for it is "sequence contains ITS1". Lineage: Eukaryota; Fungi; Ascomycota; Leotiomycetes; Helotiales. The record is from RNAcentral.